ACGGGAGGCAGCAGUGGGGAAUAUUGCACAAUGGGGGAAGCCCUGAUGCAGCAACGCCGCGUGAGUGAAGAAGUAUUUCGGUAUGUAAAGCUCUAUCAGCAGGGAAGAUAAUGACGGUACCUGACUAAGAAGCUUCGGCUAAAUACGUGCCAGCAGCCGCGGUAAUACGUAUGGAGCAAGCGUUAUCCGGAUUUACUUGGUGUAAAGGGUGUGUAGGCGGCAUGGCAAGUCAGAUGUGAAAGACCGGGGCUCAACUCCGGGGCUGCAUUUGAAACUGUCAGGCUGGAGUACAGGAGAGGCAGGCGGAAUUCCUAGUGUAGCGGUGAAAUGCGUAGAUAUUAGGAGGAACACCAGUGGCGAAGGCGGCCUGCUGGACUGUUACUGACGCUGAGGCACGAAAGCGUGGGGAGCAAACAGGAUUAGAUACCCUGGUA
This 434-nucleotide ribosomal RNA is filed under the name uncultured bacterium. RNAcentral describes it as "partial 16S ribosomal RNA". It matches the Rfam family "Bacterial small subunit ribosomal RNA", at positions 341 to 792 of the family's 1533-position model. The record is from RNAcentral.